CACACACACAACACAUGUGUGUGUGGGCUUGCCACGAUACCAACAUUUUACCAAUGAUACAAUGGCAGGCCAAGUAUCGUGAUACCACGGUGGAAGAAAAUCACUGACCCAUCAUGCUGUUCGUCCUGUCCCCCGGACGCUUGUUCCUGUUGUCUAAACCUUCUCCAAAAACCUGUCACUCAAAUUCACACUCCUACUCAAUACAACACAUUCAAUUUAACUUCACACGGUUCAGUGUAUAAUACUGUAUAGAUUGACUGAUUUGCUCAUAUUUACCUGUGAUUUGGAGGAAUAGGAGGAAGGAGUAUACAUCAGUGGUGAAGGGAGGAUGGAUCAUAAUAAUGGCUGGAACGUCACAAAUAGAAUUGUAUCAAACACAUAUAAGCCAUGUGUUUGAUACCAUUCCACUCCAGCCAUUACCACGAGCCCGUCCUCCCCAGUGAAGGUGCCACCAACCUCCUGUGAUAUAUAUGCAUAAUGAUCUGCAUGUCUCUCAGAAUGAUCUUCGUGAAGUUAACGGGUCACUCAACAAAGACUGCUCUCUGUGUCACGGAGGCGCUCCACUCCGCCAAAGCUGACUCUCUCGCCUCUGUUCUCAUCCUCCUAGAUCUGCUGCGUUCAACACCGUGAACCAUCCGAUCCUCCUCUCCACCCUCAGGGCUGGGCGUCUCAGGCUCUGCACACUCUUGGAUUGCAUCCUACCUGGCAGGCCGCUCCACCCAGGUGACGUGGAGAGGAUCUGUGUCUGCACCACGUACUCUCAUUACUGGUGUCCCCCAGGGCUCGGUUCUAGGUCCUCUCCUCUUUUCUCUAUACACCAAGUCACUAGGCUCUAGAGGUCGACCGAUUAUGAUUUUUCAACGCCGAUACCGAUUAUUGGAGGACCCCAAAAAAGCCGCUACCGAUUAAAUCGGAUGAUUUUUUAAUUUAUUUAUUUGUAAUGACAAUUACAACAAUACUGAAUGAACACUUAUUUUAACUUAAUAUAAUACAUCAAUAAAAAUCUAUUUAGCCUCAAAUAAAUAAUGAAACAUGUUCAAUUUGGUUUAAAUAAUGCAAAAUCAAAGUGUUGGAGAAGUAAAAGUGCAAUAUGUGCCAUGUAAAAAUGUUUGAGUUCCUUGCUCAGAACAUGAGAACAUAUGAAAGUUGGUGGUUCCUUUUAACAUGAGACUUCAAUAUUCCAAGGUAAGAGGUUUUAGGUUGUAGUUAAUAUAGUAUUUAUAGGACUAUUUCUCUCUAUACCAUUUGUAUUUCAUAUACCUUUGACUAUUGGAUGUUCUUAUAGCCACUAUAGUAUUGCCAGUGUAACAGUAUAGCUUCCGUCCCUCUCCUCACCCCUACCUGGGCUCGAACCAGGAACAACAGCCACACUCGAAGCAGCGUUACCCAUCGCUCCACAAAAGCCGCGGCCCUUGCAGAGCAAGGGGAACAACUACUCCAAGUCUCAGAGCGUGUGAUGUUUGAAACGCUAUUAGCGUGCACCCCGCUAACUAGCUAGCCAUUUGACAUCGGUUACACCAGCCAUUAGGCUGAUAGGCUUGAAGUCAUAAACAGCGCUGUGCUUGCGAAGAGCUGCUGGCAAAACUCACAAAAUGAAUGAAUGCUUACGAGCCUGCUGCUGCCUACCAUCGCUCAGUCAGACUGCUCUAUCAAAUCAUAGAGUUAAUUAUAAGAUAACACACAGAAAUACAAGCCUUAGGUCAUGAAUAUGGUUGAAUCCGGAAACUAUAAUUUAGAAAACAAAACAUUUAUUAUUUCAGUGAAAUACGGAACUGUUCAGUAUUUUAUCUAACGGGUGGCAUCCAUUAGUCUAAAUAUUCCUGUUACAUUGCACAACCUUCAAUGUUAUGUCAUAAUUACAUACAAUUCUGGUAAAUUAUUACGCAAUGAGCCAGGCUGCCCAAACUGUUGCAUAUACCCUGACUCUGCGUGCAAUGAACGCAAGAGAAGUGACAAUUUCACCUGGUUAAUAUAGCCUGCUAACCUGGAUUUCUUUUAGCUAAAUAUGCAGGUUUAAAAAUAUAUACUUCUGUGUGUUGAUUUUAAGAAAGGCAUUGGUGUUUAUGGUUAGGUACAGUCGUCCAACGAUUGUGCUUUUUUUGCAAAUGCGCUUUUGUUAAAUCAUCUCCCAGCGUUGCAUCGAUUAUAUGCAACACAGGACACGCUAGAUAAACUAGUAAUAUCAUCAACCAUGUGUAGUUAGCUUGUGAUUAUGAUUGAUUGAUUGUUUUUUAUAAGAUAAGUUUAAUGCUAGCUAGCAACUUACCUUGGCUUAUUGCAUUCACGUAACUGACAGGUUCCUCGUGGAGUGCAAUGUAAAUCAGGUGGUUAGAGCGUUGGACUAGUUAACUGUAAGGUUGCAAGAUUGGAUCCCCCGAGCUGAUAAGGUGAAAAUCUGUCUUUCUGCCCCUGAACAAGGCAGUUAACCCACCGUUCCUAGGGCCUCAUUUAAAAUAAGAAUGUGUUCUUAACUGACUUGCCUAGUUAAAUAAAGGUAUUAAAACAUGUUUUUUUUAAAGGCAAAAUCGGCGCCCAAAAAUACUGAUUUCCGAUUGUUGUGAAAACUUGAAAUCGGCCCUAAUUAAAAUCGGAUAUUCCGAUUAAUCGGUCGACCUCUACUAGGCUCCAUCAUAUCCUUACAUGGUCUCUAUCAUUGCUAUGCGGAUGACACUUAACUACUUCCCCCGCCUUCUGACACCCAGGUGGCAACAUGCAUCUCUGCGUGCCAGGCAGACAUCUCAGCUUGACUGUUGGCCCACCACCUCAAGACAGAACUGCUCUUCCUCCCGGGGAAGGUUUGCCCGCUCAAAGACCUCUCCAUCAUGGUUGACAACUCCAGUGUCCCCCUCCCAGAGUGCAAUGAAACUUGGCGUGACCCUGGACAACACCCUGUCGUUCUGUGCAAACAUCAAAGCAGUGACUCGCUCCUGCAGGUUUAUGCUCUACAACAUCUGUAGAGUACGACCCUAGCUCACACAGGAAGCGGUGCAGGUCCUAAUCCAGGCACUUGUCAUCUCCCGUCUAGACUACUGCAACUCUGUGUAGGCUGGGCUCCCCGCUUGUGCCAUCAAAUCCCUGCAACUUAUCCAGAACGCAAGUUCUCUCAUGUCAGCCUGCUCCUCCACACACCCCACUGGCUUCCAGUUGAAGCUCGCAUCCACAACAAGACCAUGGUGCUUACCUACGGAACAGCAAGGGAACCCCCCCCACCCCAUGCUCAAACCCUACACCCCAACCCGAGUACUCCGUUCUGUCACCUCUGGUCCCUUGGCCCUCCCACCCCUACGGGAGGGCAGCUCAUGCUCAGCCCAGUCCAAGUUCUUCUCUCUCCUGGCACCCCAAUGGUGGAACCAGCUUCCCCCUGAAUCUCGGACAGCAGAGUCCCUGCCCAUCUUCCAAAAACAUCUGAAAGACUACCUCUUCAAACAUGAUAACAAAUGACAAAAAUACACUUGACCACACCCCCCCCCCCAGCUCUUACUCCACUGACAGCUGCGUUAUUGAGGAACAUUUUACUUUCUAUGACUGUGAUAUGUGGUUGUCCCUCCUAGCUAUCUUAAGAUGAAGGCACUAACUGUAGGGCACUCUGGAUAAGAGCUGCUGCUAAAUGACCAACAUUUAAAAAUGUAAAUACAAUUGUGUCAGUAAGGGAAAAUUAAACCUUCUUUACUCUUUAGUUAAGACACACACUCUCCCUCCCUUCCUCACACACUCUGUCUCCCUCUCACUCAUAAACACCCCCCCCCUUUCUCCCUCUCUCUCAUAAACACACACCCCUCUCUGUCUCUCCCUCCCACAAACACACUGCUCCCAACUUUUUAAACAUUUGGCACCAAACAGAAUUGAAGGAGCACCAGAAAUAAAUAGAUUUGAUAUAGUUCAAGCUUCCAUUAGGACAAUAUGAAUCCUACCUUUUGAAGCACAACUCAUGAGUAGCAAACCCCUUUCCUUUCUUCCUGUGUCAGAUGUGCCUAAACCUACUGUCAAGUUACCAGUUGUUUGUUAUCAAACCAAUAAUUAGUCAACCCGGAUUAGUUUAAAAUGGCCUGUAACAUUUGUGAAAUAACAUAAAAUGUGUGUGAACUCUGAUACAAAGAAAGGCAUGUCCUGUAAUAUAGGUCAUAUGUUUUUAACCGUUUAGAAACAAGCCGUUUUCUUUGCUGUACAGCAUGCCUGUCGCCAAGCAGUGCUCCAUUUCCCCUCUCUGACACGCAGAGGCUGAAUCACAGUGAGCUUUCAAAGUCUAUUCAGACUGGUCUGUGCUCUUGGUUAGAACAGGAAAUUAAAUGAUACAAUGUGUCAACACUGCUCGCUUUGCACGCUGCUCCAAAAUAACAAAUGUACAACAGAAGACUCAGAUUCUGGGUCUGCAUCUCCGCUCGCCAACAAGGCUAAAUUAUAUUUUUCAAAACUGACAGCUGAAUAGAUGAGCUUGAAGAGCGGACGGAGAGAAGCAGGCGAGUGAGGGCAGGUAGGGGAUGUGAAGAGCGGACGGAGAGAAGCAGGCGAGUGAGGGCAGGUAGGGGAUGUGAAGAGCGGACGGAGAGAAGCAGGCGAGUGAGGGCAGGUAGGGGAUGUGAAGAGCGGACGGAGAGAAGCAGGCGAGUGAGGGCAGGUAGGGGAUGUGAAGAGCGGACGGAGAGAAGCAGGCGAGUGAGGGCAGGUAGGGGAUGUGAAGAGCGGACGGAGAGAAGCAGGCGAGUGAGGGCAGGUAGGGGAUGUGAAGAGCGGACGGAGAGAAGCAGGCGAGUGAGGGCAGGUAGGGGAUGUGAAGAGCGGACGGAGAGAAGCAGGCGAGUGAGGGCAGGUAGGGGAUGUGAAGAGCGGACGGAGAGAAGCAGGCGAGUGAGGGCAGGUAGGGGAUGUGAAGAGCGGACGGAGAGAAGCAGGCGAGUGAGGGCAGGUAGGGGAUGUGAAGAGCGGACGGAGAGAAGCAGGCGAGUGAGGGCAGGUAGGGGAUGUGAAGAGCGGACGGAGAGAAGCAGGCGAGUGAGGGCAGGUAGGGGAUGUGAGAUGCCGGACGGAGAGAAGCAGGCGAGUGAGGGCAGGUAGGGGAUGUGAGAUGCCGGACGGAGAGAAGCAGGCGAGUGAGGGCAGGUAGGGGAUGUGAAGAGCGGACGGAGAGAAGCAGGCGAGUGAGGGCAGGUAGGGGAUGUGAAGAGCGGACGGAGAGAAGCAGGCGAGUGAGGGCAGGUAGGGGAUGUGAAGAGCGGACGGAGAGAAGCAGGUGAGUGAGGGCUGGUAGGGGAUGUGAAGAGCGGACGGAGAGAAGCAGGUGAGUGAGGGCAGGUAGGGGAUGUGAAGAGCGGACGGAGAGAAGCAGGUGAGUGAGGGCUGGUAGGGGAUGUGAAGAGCGGACGGAGAGAAGCAGGUGAGUGAGGGCAGGUAGGGGAUGUGAAGAGCGGACGGAGAGAAGCAGGUGAGUGAGGGCUGGUAGGGGAUGGGGCUGGUUCAUUACAGCUGCCACACGUGAUAUACACAUGAAAGUGAAGUGGAUAUCCUUGGACCUGUGCAUACCAGAGACUAGUCAAUGUUGCUUCAAUUCAACUGACUUUAUAAACAUAUUAUAACAGGUGCCAGCAAGUUCUUUAAAUCGGUAGGGCUGAAAAACUUGGUAGUAUCAUAUGAAACAUUACUACGGUACUCUAAAAUGUUGGUAUCAUAAGCAUCAGUACCGUGAUACUUCCGUAGUACCGGUGUACCGUGUAACACUAUUUGUGUGCGUCCUACCUUCUCGAAGACGUUAGCGGCGGUCAUGAGGCAGAAGCGUAGAGACUGGACGACAGUGUCUGUGUGU
Molecule: long non-coding RNA, 5797 nt
Organism: Oncorhynchus keta (chum salmon)
Lineage: Eukaryota; Metazoa; Chordata; Actinopteri; Salmoniformes; Salmonidae
Exons: 3
Source: RefSeq, a predicted model, not a curated record